GAUGAAGAACGUAGCGAAAUGCGAUAAGUAAUGUGAAUUGCAGAAUUCAGUGAAUCAUCGAAUCUUUGAACGCACAUUGCGCCCGCCAGUAUUCUGGCGGGCAUGCCUGUUCGAGCGUCAUUACAACCCUCAGGCCACCGGGCCUGGCGUUGGGGAUCGGCGGAGCCCCCCGUGGGCACACGCCGUCCCCCAAAUGCAGUGGCGGUCCCGCCGCAGCUUCCAUCGCGUAGUAGCUAACACCUCGCGACUGGAGAGCGGCGCGGCCACGCCGUAAAACACCCAACUCUUCUGAAGUUGACCUCGAAUCAGGUAGGAAUACCCGCUGAACUUAAGCAUAUCAAUAAGCGGAGGA
This 352-nucleotide unclassified non-coding RNA is filed under the name soil metagenome. RNAcentral describes it as "partial contains 5.8S ribosomal RNA, internal transcribed spacer 2, and large subunit ribosomal RNA". The stretch from base 1 to 120 matches the Rfam family "5.8S ribosomal RNA", at positions 35 to 154 of the family's 154-position model. The record is from RNAcentral.